CAGUCGCCACGGGAAUACGGAGGGUGCAAGCGUUGUCCGGAUUUAUUGGGUUUAAAGGGUGCGUAGGCGGCUAUUUAAGUCAGCGGUGAAAGACUCCGGCUCAACCGGAGCAGUGCCAUUGAUACUGGAUAGCUUGAGUGUUGGAGGGGUACAUGGAAUUGAUGGUGUAGCGGUGAAAUGCAUAGAUACCAUCAGGAACACCGAUAGCGAAGGCAUUGUACUGGCCAACAACUGACGCUGAGGCACGAAAGCAUGGGGAGCGAACAGGAUUAGAUACCCCGGUAGUCCCUGUCUCUUAUAC
This 301-nucleotide ribosomal RNA is filed under the name uncultured bacterium. Its description in RNAcentral is "partial 16S ribosomal RNA". It matches the Rfam family "Bacterial small subunit ribosomal RNA", at positions 509 to 807 of the family's 1533-position model. The record is from RNAcentral.